Molecule: ribosomal RNA, 301 nt
Filed under: uncultured bacterium
Lineage: Bacteria
Description: partial 16S ribosomal RNA
Rfam family: Bacterial small subunit ribosomal RNA
Source: RNAcentral
CAGCAGCCGCGGUAAUACGUAGGGUGCGAGCGUUAAUCGGAAUUACUGGGCGUAAAGCGUGCGCAGGCGGUUGUGUAAGACAGGUGUGAAAUCCCCGGGCUUAACCUGGGAACUGCGCUUGUGACUGCACAGCUAGAGUAUGGCAGAGGGGGGUGGAAUUCCACGUGUAGCAGUGAAAUGCGCAGAGAUGUGGAGGAACACCGAUGGCGAAGGCAGCCCCCUGGGCCAAUACUGACGCUCAUGCACGAAAGCGUGGGGAGCAAACAGGAUUAGAUACCCCAGAGUCCCUGUCUCUUAUACA